CACCUUCAUCGCCGGCGAUUGGCCGGGGGAGGCUGCGGCCGCCAAUGGGCGCCUCGCUCGGGGCGCGGCUCUUCAAACGUUUCCUCCGCGGCGGCUGUCAGCCGGGUCCUUCCAGGGCCUGGCAAGCCGUUCCUGGACGGCUGCCCUGCUCCCCCGCUUUUGCUUUUCCUCCCUCUAGAGUGCUGGUCGGAAGGAGCUGCCCGAGAGGAUGGAGGGCACAGGGUCAGGAACGAGGUCAGAGACACCCUUGGGUUGGGACUACACGGAAGGGAUUAGGAGCCCAGAUCCGGGUCAAGGAGGUUUGGUCGCAGAAGGGACCCAGUAGCUGACUCACAACGCUUGAAAAUGUGAAAUUCUGAUCAGGCCGAGCAUGCUGUACGGAAGAAGCGGCGUUGCUUUUGUAACCACUGAACUGUGGAUUUGUCUCCCCUUUAUGUGUGAGCUCCUCGGGGACAGACAGCUGUCUUAUCGGCCCCGAGCAAGGAAUCAAUAAGUGCCUGUAGAACGAAUAAAUGACUAGGUGAGGUCCAGUUGAAAUUAUUGUUACAUAGGUCCCUGGAAAGCCAGUACCACUGGUCUUUUUUAAAUCCACUCUAAGUACUGGAUUUAAUAGACCAAUACUUCCCUUGUGCCUAUCGCGAUAUGUGCCAGUACUUAAACCCGUUUUUCCAUCUGUUCCACGCAGACGGGGUAGGUACAGACGGCGCCCUUUCCUACCCCUUGCUUUUGUAAAACUGAAGAAACGGAAUCGGACUCAGAGAGCUUAAUUGGCCAAGGACACAGACACGGCCACCUGCAGAGGCAAACGUGUGAACCCUGGAGCUGGUUGUAACCUGCACAGGGCACUGUCUCCCAAGCGCUCCGCUUUGCGCUGGUGGGAGGAGCACAGUGUGGUUGUAAAGGCUACUUUCUCUGGGAGUGUCCUCUGUCAAAUGGGAAUUCUGGUUUCCAAGAUUACACGGGAUAACGUGCCUGACACUGGGAAUUUGGAGCUGGAGGUGCUCAGAUCCUAGGCCAACGUCUAAGGGAGAGGCCACUUAAAUACCUGGUGCCCACUCUGGGCGACGCCGAGCUUGCUUGAGUCCAAGGGAGGACAGGGAAAGUGCCUCCAUUCUAGGCAGCCCCUGAAUCUGGUAGGAUUCCUAACCCUGUCCCGCCGCCCACCCCAUUCAGGUGGCGGCCAGCAGAGGGCGCCGCCCGAGCAUGGCCGAGGAGCGCCGAGGAUCCUGGUUCGGCUUCGGUUUCUGCGGCUUCGGGCAGGCGCUGGGCUCGGGGCGCGGGCGCCAGGUGCACAGCCCCGAGCCGCUGCAGACCCCGGGCGAGGGCGAGGGCGCGGACGUCUGCCGCGUGAGCGCGAGCUGGAGCUACACCGCCUUCGUGACCCGUGGAGGCCGGCUGGAGCUGGCGGGCUCCGCGGGCUGCGCGGCGGGCGGCUGCAGGGACGCGUGGGCCUCGGAGGCGCUCCUCCUGGUGCUGCGCGCCGGGCCGGGACGCGGGGCCGGGACGGAGCUGCAGGCCUGGGCGCCGGGUUCGGCGCUGAGCGGAGAGCCCCUGUGGGCCCACACCGUGGGGCCGGAGGCCGAGGGGGAAGACGCACCGGGCGGUGAGCCCCAGGCCGGGGCCCUGCCCCUGUUGCCCGGCGGGCGGGCCUACGUGAGUCCGCGGCCGCCCUUCUACAGCCCUCUGGCCCCCGAGCUGCGGGCGCGCCGGCUGGAGCUGGGCGCCGAGCACGCGUUGCUGCUGGACGAGGCGGGCCAGGUGUUCUCCUGGGGCCAGGGCCGGCAUGGACAGCUGGGCCACGGGACUCUGGAGGCCGAGCUGGAGCCGAGGCCGCUGGAGGCGCUGCAGGGCGUACCCAUGGCUGAGGUGGCUGCAGGGGGCUGGCACUCCGUGUGUGUGAGUGAGACUGGCGAUAUUUAUAUCUGGGGCUGGAACGAAUCCGGGCAGCUGGCCCUGCCCAGCAGGAGCCUGGCAGAGGUUGGCAAGACCGCUGCAGGGGAAGCCAGUGGACUGAAGGAAGACGGUUGUGACGUGAGGACAGCCGAGGGUGAGAGUGGAGGCCUGGCCCCCUUCAUAGCCAUCCAGCCCUUCCCUGCUUUACUGGAUCUCCCCCCGGGCACAGAUGCAGUCAAGGCCAGCUGUGGAUCCCGGCACACAGCAGUGGUGACCAGAACGGGGGAGCUCUACACCUGGGGCUGGGGUAAAUACGGACAGCUUGGCCACAAGGACACGAGCAGCGUGGAUCGGCCCCGCCGAGUGGAGUAUUUUGUAGACAAGCGGCUCCAGUCUUUUCUGUUUUCCACAGACCAAAGCAACCAAAAAGUGAUUUGGCCGGGGAGAAAAAAAACAAUAUAUCUUUUUGAAAGGAUGAACCUCUGAAGGUCUUCAUCAUUACGGAAUGGUGACAGUUAUGGUCUCCCAAGAUUAAUCCAAGACCUCAACCACAGGCACACAUCGAAGCCAGGUAAUGAAGUUAAAUGAUAAAUGAGAUCAUUAGGGUCAAUGUGACUGGUAGCUUUGUAAGAGAAAAAUCGGGACAUAGAUACAUACAGAAGGAAGACCAUGGAAAGAUAUAGGGAGGAAGAAAGUCAUCCUCAAGUCAAGGAUGGAGGCCUACGAAGAAACCUACCCUACUGAUACUUUGAUCUCACACUUAUAGCCUCCAGAAUUGUGAAAAAAUAAAUGUGUUGUUUAAGCCAGCCAGUCUGUGGUACUUUGCUACACCGGCCCUAGAAAGCUAUUAAGCCUUGAUAUUCAGUCAGGAGGAAGGCUCAGUAUGUACUUAUCCUGGCCCAAGCUUUAGAAGAGAAGACGGUUCUGGGGCAAGAUGUUUCAAAGCCAAGGAUAUACAAAAAGUAAGGUGUUUUGUAGCCAAGCAACAAAAACUCUCAGUGGC
RNA transcript from Prionailurus viverrinus (fishing cat), 2896 nucleotides. It is a transcript of the gene named RCC1 domain containing 1, with no coding region annotated. The transcript has 10 exons. Lineage: Eukaryota; Metazoa; Chordata; Mammalia; Carnivora; Felidae. The record is from RefSeq and is a predicted model, not a curated record.